GUAGGGCGGGACACGUGGUAUCCUGUCUGAAUAUGGGGGGACCAUCCUCCAAGGCUAAAUACUCCUGACUGACCGAUAGUGAACCAGUACCGUGAGGGAAAGGCGAAAAGAACCCCGGCGAGGGGAGUGAAAAAGAACCUGAAACCGUGUACGUACAAGCAGUGGGAGCACCUUCGUGGUGUGACUGCGUACCUUUUGUAUAAUGGGUCAGCGACUUAUAUUCUGUAGCAAGGUUAACCGUAUAGGGGAGCCGAAGGGAAACCGAGUCUUAACUGGGCGUUAAGUUGCAGGGUAUAGACCCGAAACCCGGUGAUCUAGCCAUGGGCAGGUUGAAGGUUGGGUAACACUAACUGGAGGACCGAACCGACUAAUGUUGAAAAAUUAGCGGAUGACUUGUGGCUGGGGGUGAAAGGCCAAUCAAACCGGGAGAUAGCUGGUUCUCCCCGAAAGCUAUUUAGGUAGCGCCUCGUGAACUCAUCUUCGGGGGUAGAGCACUGUUUCGGCUAGGGGGCCAUCCCGGCUUACCAACCCGAUGCAAACUACGAAUACCGAAGAAUGUUAUCACGGGAGACACACGGCGGGUGCUAACGUCCGUCGUGAAGAGGGAAACAACCCAGACCGCCAGCUAAGGUCCCAAAGUCAUGGUUAAGUGGGAAACGAUGUGGGAAGGCACAGACAGCCAGGAUGUUGGCUUAGAAGCAGCCAUCAUUUAAAGAAAGCGUAAUAGCUCACUGGUCGAGUCGGCCUGCGCGGAAGAUGUAACGGGGCUAAACCAUGCACCGAAGCUGCGGCAGCGACACUAUGUGUUGUUGGGUAGGGGAGCGUUCUGUAAGCCGUUGAAGGUGUGCUGUGAGGCAUGCUGGAGGUAUCAGAAGUGCGAAUGCUGACAUAAGUAACGAUAAAGCGGGUGAAAAGCCCGCUCGCCGGAAGACCAAGGGUUCCUGUCCAACGUUAAUCGGGGCAGGGUGAGUCGACCCCUAAGGCGAGGCCGAAAGGCGUAGUCGAUGGGAAACAGGUUAAUAUUCCUGUACUUGGUGUUACUGCGAAGGGGGGACGGAGAAGGCUAUGUUAGCCGGGCGACGGUUGUCCCGGUUUAAGCAUGUAGGCGGAACGACCAGGUAAAUCCGGUCGUUUAUUAACGCUGAGGUGUGAUGACGAGGCACUACGGUGCUGAAGUAACAAAUGCCCUGCUUCCAGGAAAAGCCUCUAAGCAUCAGGUAACAUCAAAUCGUACCCCAAACCGACACAGGUGGUCAGGUAGAGAAUACCAAGGCGCUUGAGAGAACUCGGGUGAAGGAACUAGGCAAAAUGGUGCCGUAACUUCGGGAGAAGGCACGCUGAUAUGUAGGUGAAGCCCCUGCGGGUGGAGCUGAAAUCAGUCGAAGAUACCAGCUGGCUGCAACUGUUUAUUAAAAACACAGCACUGUGCAAACACGAAAGUGGACGUAUACGGUGUGACGCCUGCCCGGUGCCGGAAGGUUAAUUGAUGGGGUUAGCGGCAACGCGAAGCUCUUGAUCGAAGCCCCGGUAAACGGCGGCCGUAACUAUAACGGUCCUAAGGUAGCGAAAUUCCUUGUCGGGUAAGUUCCGACCUGCACGAAUGGCGUAAUGAUGGCCAGGCUGUCUCCACCCGAGACUCAGUGAAAUUGAACUCGCUGUGAAGAUGCAGUGUACCCGCGGCAAGACGGAAAGACCCCGUGAACCUUUACUAUAGCUUGACACUGAACACUGGUCCUUGAUGUGUAG
This 1746-nucleotide ribosomal RNA is filed under the name Enterobacter roggenkampii. RNAcentral's name for it is "partial 23S ribosomal RNA". It matches the Rfam family "Bacterial large subunit ribosomal RNA", at positions 412 to 2141 of the family's 2925-position model. The record is from RNAcentral. Lineage: Bacteria; Pseudomonadati; Pseudomonadota; Gammaproteobacteria; Enterobacterales; Enterobacteriaceae.